CGGACGGGUGAGUAACGCGUGGGUAACCUGCCUCAUACAGGGGGAUAACGAUUGGAAACGAUUGCUAAUACCGCAUAAGCGCACAGUACCACAUGGUACAGUGUGAAAAACUCCGGUGGUAUGAGAUGGACCCGCGUCUGAUUAGGUAGUUGGUGAGGUAACGGCCCACCAAGCCGACGAUCAGUAGCCGACCUGAGAGGGUGACCGGCCACAUUGGGACUGAGACACGGCCCAG
Molecule: ribosomal RNA, 235 nt
Filed under: uncultured bacterium
Lineage: Bacteria
Description: partial 16S ribosomal RNA
Rfam family: Bacterial small subunit ribosomal RNA
Source: RNAcentral